UGUACUUGCCUGGAGGCAGAGUCAGCAUUCAAAGUCAGGUCCAGUCCUAGGGUCGGGCAAACAGCAAUCCACAUGCUCACACGGUCCAGGGGUCAGGGAAUCCAAGGAUCAAGGGCCUAAACAAGCAGGAAGCAGCAAGGUAAGGUCAAGGACUACAAGCAUUGAUUCCAGCAUUUGACUGCUGCUGGAAGCUUUGCAUAAGAAGGCUGAAGCCUGCUGGUUCCCAUCAGCGCCUUCUCCUCUGUGUCCUUAAAGGCUCAUCAGCUACAGGUGGAGUCACUCCCUCUUCUCCCCCUUCAGGCUGCUGUUCAGCAGGUGAAUGACUCCAUGACAAGAGGUCUCUCCCAGCCUAUGUGAAAAUGCCAGGGACUGAACCUGGGACAAGCAAAGCAGAUGCUGGACCACUGACCUUCAACCCUCCCCUAAGGGACACAGCAGGUGCACCAACUCUAUGGGGCUGAGGCUUCUACAACCCCCCAAUGUCCACUGGCAUGGGGAUCACCCCCCCCCCCAAUCUUGAGGGGGCAAAGGAGACCCGAUUGGAUGUUGCCCUGGGCCAUCCAGCAUUGGGAGAUGAUGCAUGGACCAGCAUAGCCUGGUGCACAAAUGUAGCAUGGGAGGAGGUCUGGCUGGCCUCUCCUGAUGUGAGAGUCAUCAUGCAUGUAACGUGCAAUGCAAGUUACAUCAAACGCACAUGACAUGAACUGUACAUGUGAUGUCUCUCUCUCUCUCUCUCUCUCUCUCUCACACACACACACACACACACACACACAAUUCUAGGUGCAACUCAGCACCUGUGGGGCACAGCAUCUCCUAGCUUCUUCCAUCUAGGAUUGUGGCCCAGAGUCUAUUAUAUGGUAUUUCUCAAAGCACAAAAGAAGUGCAACAUGGGUCACUAGGAUGCCAUUGAGUGGGUGCAUAAAGAUCAAGGAGUGUGAUAUGAACCUCUGAAUGUGGCCUUAGAGGCAUGCACACCAAUUGUGCACAAAAGUACGAUUUGUUUAAGCCACCUAACUUCUGUGAAGCUUCCAUUCAAGGAUGCGAACGUGGAAGAAUAAAUCAGUAGCAGCUCUCCACCAUGACCUUGAUACUACAAAUCCUGACGAUUUUCUACGAGUGUUCUGGGGAAACUACUCUCCGCUGCGCUGAAUAGCUGGGCGAUCUGUUAUGCAUUGGCAGAAAGCAGAAUUGAAUUCAGAGUGCCUGAACUGAAUCGGAUGUACUAUAAGCAAUUAAAAUAACACAAAUC
Non-coding RNA from Podarcis lilfordi (Lilford's wall lizard), 1249 nucleotides. The record is from the annotation of a GenBank genome assembly. NCBI's taxonomy places the organism in Eukaryota, Metazoa, Chordata, Lepidosauria, Squamata, Lacertidae.